AUGAUUGAAGGUGUUUUUGUGUUUCUUCCAGAAGAAUGGAGAGAGAAUCGUGAAAGGUUAGUAAAAAAAUUGGAAAAGUUGGAAAUGGGUUGUUUAGCGCCUGUUUUGAUUUUGGUUUUAUUAGGACUGGUGCAAGACAAUGCGAAUCUGGGAAGUAGGUUUCGUUUUAGCCGCAACUUUGGAGUUUUGGAUAUUUAUGGAACAAUACUUAAAGGAAUGUCCUCAUGA
Molecule: non-coding RNA, 228 nt
Organism: Vicia faba (fava bean)
Lineage: Eukaryota; Viridiplantae; Streptophyta; Magnoliopsida; Fabales; Fabaceae
Source: the annotation of a GenBank genome assembly